CCAUCAUUCAGUUGGGCACUCUAGCGAGACUGCCGGUAAUAACCGGAGGAAGGUGGGGAUGACGUCAAAUCAUCAUGCCCCUUAUGACCUGGGCUACACACGUGCUACAAUGGUUGGUACAACGAGUUGCGAGUCGGUGACGGCGAGCUAAUCUCUUAAAGCCAAUCUCAGUUCGGAUUGUAGGCUGCAACUCGCCUACAUGAAGUCGGAAUCGCUAGUAAUCGCGGAUCAGCACGCCGCGGUGAAUACGUUCCCGGGCCUU
RNAcentral lists this ribosomal RNA (262 nucleotides) under uncultured Streptococcus sp. RNAcentral's name for it is "partial 16S ribosomal RNA". It matches the Rfam family "Bacterial small subunit ribosomal RNA", at positions 1118 to 1382 of the family's 1533-position model. Lineage: Bacteria; Bacillati; Bacillota; Bacilli; Lactobacillales; Streptococcaceae. The record is from RNAcentral.